AUACGGAGGGCGCAAGCGUUGCUCGGAAUCACUGGGCGUAAAGCGGGUGUAGGCGGUCUAGCAAGUCAGAUGUGAAAGCCCACGGCUCAACCGUGGAAGUGCAUCUGAAACUGCUAGACUUGAGUGCCGGAGAGGGAAGUGGAAUUCCUGGUGUAGGGGUGAAAUCCGUAGAUAUCAGGAGGAACACCGGUGGCGAAGGCGACUUCCUGGACGGCCACUGACGCUGAGACCCGAAAGCGUGGGGAGCAAACAGGAUUAGAUACCCUAGUAGUCC
Molecule: ribosomal RNA, 274 nt
Filed under: uncultured bacterium
Lineage: Bacteria
Description: partial 16S ribosomal RNA
Rfam family: Bacterial small subunit ribosomal RNA
Source: RNAcentral